GUGUCAGCCGCCGCGGUAAUACGUAGGGGGCGAGCGUUGUCCGGAAUCAUUGGGCGUAAAGAGCACGUAGGCGGCUUGUCAGGUCGGAUGUGAAAACCCGCGGCUCAACUGCGGGACUGCAUUCGAAACCGGCAGGCUAGAGUCCAGUAGAGGAAAGUGGAAUUCCCAGUGUAGCGGUGAAAUGCGCAGAUAUUGGGAAGAACACCGGUGGCGAAGGCGGCUUUCUGGGCUGUGACUGACGCUGAGGUGCGAAAGCUAGGGGAGCGAACAGGAUUAGAAACCCCCGUAGUCC
RNAcentral lists this ribosomal RNA (292 nucleotides) under uncultured bacterium. RNAcentral describes it as "partial 16S ribosomal RNA". It matches the Rfam family "Bacterial small subunit ribosomal RNA", at positions 505 to 796 of the family's 1533-position model. The record is from RNAcentral.